UACAGAGGUGGCGAGCGUUGUUCGGAUUUACUGGGCGUAAAGGGUGCGUAGGUGGUUCUGUGUGUCGGAUGUAAAAGCCUGGAGCUUAACUCCAGAACGUCAUUCGAAACUGCAGGGCUAGAGUGCAGGAGAGGAGAGCGGAAUUCUUGGUGUAGCGGUGAAAUGCGUUGAUAUCAAGAAGAACACCGGAUGCGAAGGCGGCUCUCUAGUAUGUUACUGACACUGAGGCACGAAAGCCGGGGGAGCAAACAGG
RNAcentral lists this ribosomal RNA (253 nucleotides) under uncultured bacterium. Its description in RNAcentral is "partial 16S ribosomal RNA". It matches the Rfam family "Bacterial small subunit ribosomal RNA", at positions 524 to 776 of the family's 1533-position model. The record is from RNAcentral.